RNAcentral lists this long non-coding RNA (270 nucleotides) under Homo sapiens (human). RNAcentral describes it as "HSALNT0287442". Lineage: Eukaryota; Metazoa; Chordata; Mammalia; Primates; Hominidae. The record is from RNAcentral.
AAUUGUGACUGGUAAUAGCAAAUUAUAAGACAGUGACAGAUUAGGCUUGUGAAUUUCUUUUAAACCUUGCUGCUCUUUGGGGACUUUCUAUGCUGUCCCUCUUUUAUGAUCACUCUUUUAUUUAAGAAAAAAUCAACAAAACCAAGACCUAGAUUUUAAAAGAAUGUUACACGUGAAAUGAAGAGGGCAUUUAUGUCUGAGCGCUGGCCCACUGUGACUAGCCUUGGCCUCUAGUCAGCCUGACCAGCACCAACCAGGAGUGAGGAGCAG